ACACACAGACGCGUCAGAAAAAUCAAUGCUCCCCUAAGACGUCCCUUGUUUGGGGAAUGCGGUUUUCUAACCGGAAGCUGCAAACCCCUUCCCGGCAGAGCGCGCCAGCCCCUUUGCUCACCCCCUGCCUCCCCAGGCCUGACUUCCGUGGGCUGCCCUCACUCCCAAAACCAGGGUGCUGAGUCUGCUUCUGUCCCCAUCCCGCCCCUGCCCAGGCCCCUGGGAUGGGUGGGCCUCCAGGUGCGCCCCACUGACCCGAACCCUCCGCCCCUACCCAGGCCCCUGGGAUGGGUGGGCCUCCAGGUGCGCCCCACUGACCCGAACCCUCCGCCCCUACCCAGGCCCCUGGGAUGGGUGGGCCUCCAGGUGCGCCCCACUGACCCGAACCCCCCGCCCCUGCCCGGGCCCCUGGGAUGGGUGGGCCUCCAGGUGCGCCCCACUGACCCGAACCCUCCGACCCUGCCCAGGCCCCUGGGAUGGGUGGGCCUCCAGGUGCGCCCCACUGACCCGAACCCUCCGACCCUGCCCAGGCCCCUGGGAUGGGUGGGCCUCCAGGUGCGCCCCACUGACCCGAACCCUCCGACCCUGCCCAGGCCCCUGGGAUGGGUGGGCCUCCAGGUGCGCCCCACUGACCCGAACCCUCCGCCCCUGCCCAGGCCCCUGGGAUGGGUGGGCCUCCAGGUGCGCCCCACUGACCCGAACCCCCCGCCCCUGCCCGGGCCCCUGGGAUGGGUGGGCCUCCAGGUGCGCCCCACUGACCCGAACCCUCCGCCCCUGCCCACUUCCACACCUGCUCGUCGACUGUGGAUAAUUGAGUUAAUUGCGUUCACAACGCACCCCUCUGGUUCCCCGCCCUGCGCGUGCCUCCCCCCUAGCCGGCCUCAGGGGGUCCCAUUCUGCACCCCGUUUAUCCGCAGUUCCGCCAAAGCCUCCCCCCUCCCCGCCCCCCGGCCCCCGCCCGACCCGGGCUUCCGACUCCCACUCGGGGUUUCCCAGGAAGCGGCCCCGCUCCCACCAGCAGGGAGGGCUCGCGUGGCCACGUGGCAGGGCGGGGGGCCCGGAUCCCAGCGACUCCCCCCAAGCGGGGCGCGGGCCGGGGAACGCGGUGGCGGCGGUGGCCUUGGCCGGGUGGCUGCGCGGGACCCGUGGGCGCGGGUCCCCGGGCGGGGCGGGGCGGGGCGGGGCGGGCGGAGCGCGGCGGGGCGGGGACGGCGCGGGCGCGACUGCGGCGGCUCGGGCGGGGGGCGGCGGCGCCAGCGGACACCGGAGCGGGCAGGAGCAGCGGCCGCGGCGCCGCAGGGACCAGCGAGCCCAGGUAGGCGGCCCGGGGCGGGGCGGGGCGGGGGUCCCUGCGCAGCCCCCCACCCUCUCCGGCCGUCCUCCCCUCCUUUGUCCCGGCCGCACCCUCCCGGGACCCGGGGCCGGUUCCUCCCCGCCCCAUCCCGCCCGCCCCUCCGCGGCGCACCUUGGACAGCUCCCGCCGCCUCCCCUCCCCCACCCGGAGCCCCCCGACCCCGCCGAGGCCCCCCCGCCGCCCCUCUCCGCAUCGGCUCCCCCCCCCACCCCCCACCUCCCCCCCCCCCCCGGCAGGGCCUCCUGUCACCCGCUCAGCCCUCCGCCCCGCUGCCUAGCCAGGCCCCUCCCUCGGCGCCCCCUCCCCGGGUGGGCUCCUCCUCCCCACCUUGGAGGUCCUGUUAG
RNAcentral lists this long non-coding RNA (1698 nucleotides) under Callithrix jacchus (white-tufted-ear marmoset). RNAcentral's name for it is "lncRNA (ENSCJAG00000084918.1)". Lineage: Eukaryota; Metazoa; Chordata; Mammalia; Primates; Cebidae. The record is from RNAcentral.